UGAAAAAUGUCACCCGCCUCCAAGUGAUUCCAUCUGAGGAACCUGCGUUUGGCCAGUUCCAGCCUGUGGAUCACCCUAUACCUCUCAUCUCCAUGGAUCGGCAACCUCCACACCUCCCACACCAAGUUCUAAAAUCUCAAAUAAAAGAUCCAGAACUUCUCAAACCAGAAGGGGCCCCUGGACCGGUCCAGGCCAUCUGUCGAAAUAAGGAGCGGCAGUGAUCCGAGACAAUCCUCGGUAGGUGCUGAACACAAUACCCC
This 260-nucleotide long non-coding RNA is filed under the name Elaeis guineensis (African oil palm). RNAcentral describes it as "long non-coding RNA (EGUI_LNC027294)". The record is from RNAcentral. Lineage: Eukaryota; Viridiplantae; Streptophyta; Magnoliopsida; Arecales; Arecaceae.